UACGGAGGGAGCAAGCGUUACUCGGAAUUAUUGGGCGUAAAGGGCGCGUAGGCGAUUCGAAAAGUCAACUGUGAAAGCCCAGGGCCUAACCCUGGAAGUGCAGCUGAUACUGUUGAAUUUGAGUUCCGGAGAGGAAGGCAGAAUUCCCGGUGUAGCGGUGAAAUGCGUAGAUAUCGGGAGGAAUACCGAUGGCGAAGGCAGGUCUCUGGGCUAUAACUGACGCUCAUGCACGAAAGCGUGGGGAGCAAACAGG
This 253-nucleotide ribosomal RNA is filed under the name uncultured bacterium. Its description in RNAcentral is "partial 16S ribosomal RNA". It matches the Rfam family "Bacterial small subunit ribosomal RNA", at positions 524 to 776 of the family's 1533-position model. The record is from RNAcentral.